UUGGGUUGGCCAAAAGGUUUGUUUGGGUUUUUCAUAACAUCUUACAGAAAAACCCAAAUGAACUUUUUGGCCAAC
RNAcentral lists this microRNA precursor (75 nucleotides) under Ovis aries (sheep). Its description in RNAcentral is "miRNA (ENSOARG00000022317.1)". Lineage: Eukaryota; Metazoa; Chordata; Mammalia; Artiodactyla; Bovidae. The record is from RNAcentral.